CGGCGGACGGGUGAGUAACACGUGGAUAACCUACCUAUAAGACUGGGAUAACUUCGGGAAACCGGAGCUAAUACCGGAUAAUAUAUUGAACCGCAUGGUUCAAUAGUGAAAGACGGUUUUGCUGUCACUUAUAGAUGGAUCCGCGCCGCAUUAGCUAGUUGGUAAGGUAACGGCUUACCAAGGCAACGAUGCGUAGCCGACCUGAGAGGGUGAUAGGCCACACUGGAACUGAGACACGGUCCAG
This 244-nucleotide ribosomal RNA is filed under the name uncultured Staphylococcus sp. RNAcentral's name for it is "partial 16S ribosomal RNA". It matches the Rfam family "Bacterial small subunit ribosomal RNA", at positions 96 to 334 of the family's 1533-position model. The record is from RNAcentral. Lineage: Bacteria; Bacillati; Bacillota; Bacilli; Caryophanales; Staphylococcaceae.